This 1102-nucleotide long non-coding RNA is filed under the name Vulpes vulpes (red fox). RNAcentral's name for it is "lncRNA (ENSVVUG00000012903.1)". Lineage: Eukaryota; Metazoa; Chordata; Mammalia; Carnivora; Canidae. The record is from RNAcentral.
AAAUUACCACAAACUGGGUUACUUAAAAAGACAAAGUUUAUUUUCUCACAGAUUUGAAGGUCAGAAGUCUGAAAUCAAAGUGGGAGCCAUCCUCCCUCCCCAAGGCCCUAGCUCCUAGUGACUCCUGGCAAUCCUUGGUGUUUCUUGGUUUAUUCUGCAUCACUCCAAUCUCUGCUUCCAUCUAACCAUGGCAUUCUUUCCUGUAUCUCUGUUUCCUCUGUGCCUGGGUAUCUCUGUGCCCAAAUCUCCCUGUCCUUUCUUUGAUAAGGGUUCCUAUCAUUGGGUUUCAUGCCCACCCUAAAACCAGGAUGAUUUUAUCUAAAAAUUUUUAAUAAAUUACUACACCUGCACAGAUCCAAUUUCCAAAUAAAGUAACAUACUGGGAGGACAAUAUUCAACCCGCUACUAUGAUCAUGAUGAUGUCACAAUCUUGCAUUAUUUCAUGCCUUAAAAGUUGUCAGACAGAUCAGUUGUAGAGGGGAAGACCUACUGGGGUGAUUGGCCAAAAAUGUGGAGACCUCAGGAUAUGGCACAGGAAGUGAUCUUGGUCCUUGCAUGACAUGGCAGACGGACCUGCAGCAGCCUCAUAGCCUUGCAUGGCUUACAGCAUCCCCUGGCUCUGAUAUGCAUGGGAACAGAAUCAGCAAGUUCUACCCUAAUAUCAAAACUGAAUCACCAGCUACUAGACUAGACCACAGAACAGGUGCUUUUCUGUGUGAUUUGCAGGAAAUUCUCCCACCAGAGACCCGUAUUAUGCCUGGCAUACAGGAGGCAUUCAGAAAAUUUGAUGACUAGAAGUGUGUGUCCAUCUCAAUGACACAGGUCUCUAAAACCCUUGCUGCCAGUGUUUGGACCAAGAGGCUGGCAGCUAUGAUGGGAGCUCUGGUAGAAGGUCAGCCCAUGGCUAGCAGCACUAUUCAUACCCUGUCCUGUGCCGGAAAAACAAACGUGGGAUCCAGUAUAAGCUGUGUGUGCAAGAGCCUCCACAGCUUCAUCCAAAUUAGACUCCUAACAUGCAUCUAUAAAGCCAGAAGAUCAGAGAGGAGAACAACAUGGUUUCUUAAGUGCUCCAUUUUCCAAGAAAAUACAAGGCUAUCUCUCC